AACAAAUUUCCCUAUAUUCUCUGGAAAAUCAAUUCUCUGGAAACCGCAUUUCUCCUCCAAAAUCAAACCCCCCAACCGUUCCUUAAGCUGAAAACAAACGCAGAAGCAUCCCUCCUCAGCUCCAUUGUUUCUCUCUCUUCAAUCCCAUGAUUCUAGAGAGAGAAAGAAAAGAGUUUCAGACUACAGCAAUGGCCAAAGCGCGUGACCGAUCAUCCAAGCCUCUCCACAACUUCUCCUUACCAUGCUUGAAAUGGGGCAAUCAGAGAUUCCUUAGAUGCAUGAAACUCUCUCCAAAUACCUCUAAUUCUUCAUCUUCCCUCAUACCCACAUCUGUGAUUUCGUUCCAAAACGCCGAGACCGACGCCAAUGGUGGAAUCGAAGCCAUUCGCCAGAAACUCAUGCUUGAUCUCAGAGAGGCCGCCGACAAGAUGAGACACUCCAUUUUGGAGGACAAUUCAGAGAGGCCUUGGAAUCUCAGGACUCGGAAAGCGGCUUGUAAGGUCCCCUGUGAGGCGGCUGUAGUGGAGAAAAAGAAGAAAAGAGAGAGACCGAAGUUUUCGGUGUCCCUAUCGAGAGAGGAGGUGAGGGAUGAUUUUAUGGUGAUGGUCGGUACGCGGCCGUCGAGAAGGCCCAAGAAAAGGGCGAGGAUAGUGCAGACGCAGUUGGAUUCAAUUUUUUCGGGUUUGUGGCUGACAGAAAUAACACUUGAUACAUACAAACUCCCCGACUUACCUGAAUCAACAAAGGUAUAGAGGAGGAGGUUUGGAUGGUUACUCAGAAUUUCAAAUAUUCUGGUCAUAAAAGUUAACGGCACAGGAGCAGCCACAAAGCACACCUCACAUGCAGGUACCAUCAGUAGCCUCGACCUCCACAGCCGGUGACGAUGCUACAGAGGUUAUUGAAGCCCGCAUCAGUGAGACAUCAAAGACUAUGCUUAGAUUAGCUUUGUCUUUGGUGCGAGAUGUGGGUGCAUUACGUUGUCGGCCCGGUGGAUCAGAGGGGAAUUCUUCCGUCCCUUGCCCAUCACCAGAGCACCACACUAAAGAUCAACCAAUGUGGCCAACACGAGUGAGGCAGCCAUUAGCUGAGGAAAUUGAACCAAAAGACAGCCUCGUACCAACCCCCCAUUCGCCAGUUGGAAUGGGACCAUCACCAACUCCCACUUAUUCCGAGCCAUUGGUCCCACAGUCUCAGGCAAAGGCAUCCCUUCCAGCUGAAGUGACAGUAGUGACAGUAUUUGUUCUUUUAUUAUAGUUAAGGGUACUGGUCAGUGUUGUAUUGGCGACUGAUUGGACAACAACUGUGAUUGUAAGAUGUGAUCCAAAGUGAUAGGUUUAUUAUGGGGUAUGAUACUAAUUUCAUAAGAGAACAACAAACAUAGACUGGAACCUAUUUGUUUG
This is an RNA transcript of Vitis vinifera (wine grape), 1400 nucleotides long. RefSeq lists it as uncharacterized. The transcript has 5 exons. The record is from RefSeq and is a predicted model, not a curated record. Lineage: Eukaryota; Viridiplantae; Streptophyta; Magnoliopsida; Vitales; Vitaceae.